This 915-nucleotide ribosomal RNA is filed under the name Triticum aestivum (bread wheat). Its description in RNAcentral is "partial small subunit ribosomal RNA". The record is from RNAcentral. Lineage: Eukaryota; Viridiplantae; Streptophyta; Magnoliopsida; Poales; Poaceae.
AUGUUUUGGAGACAUGUGACUUGGCCGAUUUGGGGUUCACUGGUGUUCCCCACACAUACGACAAUACGCGGAGUGGUAACUCAGAACAUGAGAGUUCGGCUCGACAGAGCGGUGGCAAGCCCAGCUUGGAGGAAUUCUUUUGUCAAUGCUACUGUUCGCCACUUAAUUUCUCCUUGUUCGGACCAUGUGCCCAUCCAUGUUUCUUGUGAUUCGGAGGUAGAUAUGCCAAUUAAACCUAAACUUAUACAGUAUGAGAUUAUGUGGGAGCGAGAGCCAGCUCUACAGGCGGUUAUUGCGAAUGCUUGGCAAGAAGCGGGUGAGAAGAAUUCUCUUGGAGAUGUGCAUGCAGCCCUUAGGGGCACCAUGAGAAAACUAUGCGGCUGGAGUAAGGAAAACUUUGGCAAUGUGGCCAAAGAAAUAGAGAAAUCCCGUACACAAUUGGAGGAACUUAUGUUAAUGAAUGCGGGCAGAUGUGAGAUCCAUAGAGUAACAGAUAGGACGAAUGAGCUGCUCUAUCGGGAGGAGCUAAUGUGGAUGCAGAGUUCCCGUGUCACUUGGCUCAAAGACGGGGACCGAAACACAAAAAUUUUCCAGUCCAAAUCUGUGUGGCGAGCACGAAAGAAUAAAAUAAGGAAAUUGGAGGACACUAGUGGCAACGUGUUUACAAAAAAUGAUGAGAUGGGGCAGGCGGCUACAGGGUACUUCAAACAUAUUUUCUCUGUUGAUCCAUCGUUGGACGCAACCCCCAUUAUUCAUCUAGUUGAUCCUAUUAUAAACAAUGAAACAAAUGAGAUGUUAUGUGCUGAGUUCACUGAGAAGGAGAUAUCUGAUGCGUUGUUUCAAAUUUGUCCUCUGAGGCACCGGGCCCCAAUGGGUUUCCCGCUCGUUUCUUUCAGCGUAACUGGGGGACCGUGA